Molecule: transfer RNA, 74 nt
Filed under: Gemmata obscuriglobus
Lineage: Bacteria; Pseudomonadati; Planctomycetota; Planctomycetia; Gemmatales; Gemmataceae
Also listed under: 1 other name
Description: tRNA-Met
Rfam family: tRNA
About the family: Transfer RNA (tRNA) molecules are approximately 80 nucleotides in length. Their secondary structure includes four short double-helical elements and three loops (D, anti-codon, and T loops).
Source: RNAcentral
GGCGGGGUAGCUCAGAGGUUAGAGCACUCGCUUCAUAAGCGAGGAGUCGUGGGUUCAAUUCCCACCCCCGCUAC